CCUACGGGAGGCAGCAGUGGGGAAUAUUGCACAAUGGGGGAAACCCUGAUGCAGCGACGCCGCGUGAGUGAAGAAGUAUUUCGGUAUGUAAAGCUCUAUCAGUAGGGAAGAAAAUGACGGUACCUGUUUAAGAAGCCCCGGCUAACUACGUGCCAGCAGCCGCGGUAAUACGGAGGGGGCAAGCGUUAUCCGGAUUUACUGGGUGUAAAGGGAGCGUAGACGGCAGCAUAAGUCUGGAGUGAAAUGCCGGGGCUUAACCCCGGAACUGCUUUGGAAACUGUGCAGCUAGAGUGCAGGAGAGGUAAGUGGAAUUCCUAGUGUAGCGGUGAAAUGCGUAGAUAUUAGGAGGAACACCAGUGGCGAAGGCGGCUUACUGGACUGUAACUGACGUUGAGGCUCGAAAGCGUGGGGAGCAAACAGGAUUAGAUACCCCAGUAGUC
Molecule: ribosomal RNA, 440 nt
Filed under: uncultured bacterium
Lineage: Bacteria
Description: partial 16S ribosomal RNA
Rfam family: Bacterial small subunit ribosomal RNA
Source: RNAcentral